RNAcentral lists this ribosomal RNA (468 nucleotides) under uncultured bacterium. Its description in RNAcentral is "partial 16S ribosomal RNA". It matches the Rfam family "Bacterial small subunit ribosomal RNA", at positions 28 to 507 of the family's 1533-position model. The record is from RNAcentral.
GACGAACGCUGGCGGCGUGCUUAACACAUGCAAGUCGAACGGAAAGGCCCUGCUUUUGUGGGGUGCUCGAGUGGCGAACGGGUGAGUAACACGUGAGUAACCUGCCCUUGACUUUGGGAUAACUUCAGGAAACUGGGGCUAAUACCGGAUAGGAGCUCCUGCUGCAUGGUGGGGGUUGGAAAGUUUCGGCGGGUGGGGAUGGACUCGCGGCUGAUCGGCUUGUUGGUGGGGUAGUGGCUUACCAAGGCUUUGACGGGUAGCCGGCCUGAGAGGGUGACCGGCCACAUUGGGACUGAGAUACGGCCCAGACUCCUACGGGAGGCAGCAGUGGGGAAUAUUGCACAAUGGGCGGAAGCCUGAUGCAGCAACGCCGCGUGCGGGAUGACGGCCUUCGGGUUGUAAACCGCUUUCGCCUGUGACGAAGCGUGAGUGACGGUAAUGGGUAAAGAAGCACCGGCUAACUACGUG